ACAGUAACAGAGGGAUUGAGGGCCUGCUCAGUGAGUUUACAUGUUAGAGGGAGUGGGGUAUAGUGACACAGUAACAGAGGGAUUGAGGGCUCUGCUCAGUGAGUUUACAUGUUAGAGGGAGUGGGGUAUAGUGACAGUAACAGAGGGAUUGAGGGCCCUGCUCAGUGAGUUUACAUGUUAGAGGGAGUGGGGUAUAGUGACACAGUAACAGAGGGAUUGAGGGCCC
Molecule: non-coding RNA, 226 nt
Organism: Pelobates cultripes (western spadefoot toad)
Lineage: Eukaryota; Metazoa; Chordata; Amphibia; Anura; Pelobatidae
Source: the annotation of a GenBank genome assembly